Long non-coding RNA from Bos taurus (domestic cattle), 2769 nucleotides. NCBI's taxonomy places the organism in Eukaryota, Metazoa, Chordata, Mammalia, Artiodactyla, Bovidae. The record is from Ensembl.
GAAACAAGAGCAUGGCAAUUUGGCCACAGUGGGUUCCCUGGGCCUCACGGCUAUUCCUUCUUCCCAGGACCGUGGUCGAAAUUCCGAUUGUUUAGUUGGAAUUUUCAGGAAGAGGCAAAGGCUUCAGAAGGGCUGGCCUUGGAGGAAAUAUUUUUAAACGGGAUUUCACAAUUUGAAAAGAUAAGUGUCCUCAGCUAGCGCUCAUUUCGUUUUUUUCUCCCAGUAGCUGGUUUGUUAAAAGUGAAAGAGGGGAAAGGGGAUUUUAAAAAAUUUCCCUCUUAAGAUUUUGAGGAGUUUGGGUUUCGUUUUGUGCAGAGAGCGGCGCAGGUCCGGACUCGCCCGCCCAGCCUCGGCCCGGGGGAGGUGCCGCUGCCCGCAGUUCCUCUCUGCUUUCCUACCAUCAUCGGUUACGGGCGGGCAGCCGGGAUCGAUUGGCGGUCGGAGGACGCUUGGGAACCUGUUUCCUAGGCCUGGGGAGGAGAGCGCGCUGGAGCCCUCUUGUCCCUCCGAGGAAAAUGAGUUCGCUUAUCCUUUUCUUCAUCCGGCUGCCGAGGGCUAGAGGCGGCCACCAGCCGACCCCUCCAGCCAACCCCCUCCCCCCGGGGCUCCUUCCUCUCUCCCGAGUCGGGACCUGCGUCAGGCCGGCGCCGAUGCUGCUUUUCCGAAACCCGAUUUCUCUGCAGUCUACGCUCUAUCCCAGUCUGCGCCGCAGGAGAAAGCGCCGGGGCCCGGGGCCCGGAAGCCCCUUCCAGUUCGACCCCGCAAGGGUCCUGGCGCCCAUUGUCAGCCUCGCUGGGGCGACCUGGUGGACGCGGAGCGCCGUUCUGGGUCGCGAGCUCCGCUCGGCAAAGUCGCGGCGCGACCCUCGGUCCCGGCGCGAUUUCCGCAGCGCGCACCGCUACCUUCUCCCCAGCUUGCGCGGCGGGACUGAGCUGCCUGAAGAGCCCCUGGAACCAGGCAGAAAAGAGCAUCAGCCUCACGCCUGAGGGCCUUUUCCCGGGUUGUACGCAAAGCGGGCCCGGCGACCUCCGGGACGCCUCUCAGGCCUCCGCCUGGAGAAGACUUCGUAGGGGAAGACUCGGGCUCCGUGCCGCCUACCCGGAGGGGGCAGCCUCCAGCGCCUCCGAGCCGUCUGCCCGCAGCAAGUCCGGGACGCUGCAGCCCAGCUCCCACUCUGGUCCGGCUAAGAGAAGCUGGGCUGGGCCUGGCUGGGCCCGGCUUAUCGAGAACCCCGGCCGAUGGGGCUGCUUGUCACCUCCAGGCUCUCGGACACACACACUCACACUCAGGAUAGGAGGACCUUCGAGGAGGUGGUGCGGCCCGAGUCCCGGGGACUCAAGUGCCCACGGUCGCGACGUAAAAGCCAGGCCCUUGUUCACCCAUCACCAGCACCAGCCCCAAGCCCUUGGUCAUUCCGACCCACACGCUUUGCCUUUCUUGGCCUCGCAUCUUCCGACAGGGCCACCACGCCUCGCCAGCAGGGACCCACUUGGGCGGGAAGGGCCUAGAAACUCCCUAGCCCUGGAAUUUCAGGCCUGGGACCGUCAGGGAGACAAACUAGGCCCUCUCGUGCCUUCACGCCCUCUCUUGGUAUUUUAGUAUAGUAACAAAAAGCAAACCCCAAACGCCUUAAAAUUUUAAUGAGACCUCCUUCCCGGAGAAGUUACUUAGAGGCAGCAAAAUUCCGGAGCUGGGGCCGGGGAUCGGGGAUGGUCCCCCGACGUGUGCGACGGAGCUGAGUCAUCCCAGGCACAGGGUUAGUAAGGAGAGGGUGCCAGUAUGUACUGCAGGUCCAAUCCAGGCGCGACCCCCUCAGGAAAAAGACGCCCCAUCCUCACUGCGCGCCCCUGGCUCUCUCCCCCUGUCUGCUGAACUGCGGCGGGAUGCGCCCGGCGGCUACCGCCAAAGCCAGAGCGGAGCGCAGUGUGUCCGCCAGGCGGCGCUGCGGAGCCCGGCGGAGCGGGCGAGAGACACGGAACCCUGGCCAGCGCGCGGGACACAGGCUGGGUGUCAGACAGAGACCCCGCGCCUCCACGUUAGCACGGUUUUCCGAGCGGUGUCUGGUAGCUCCCUCCUGCUAGUUCCUCGCUCCUCUCCCGCUACGAACCAUGUCCUCUGCGCUUCUCCACAUGCUCUAGCUUCUGCUUUUGUGUUCCCCGUGCUCUUUCUCUACCCCAGAGGAGUUGCCCAGGUGUCCAGGGCCCCUCUCCAAGCCGGGGAGCUCCCAUCGCCACCAUCAAGGCUCUGACAGGUCACUUUGUCAUAGUGAAGUGAAUCUCACCCAUUCAUGCAUCCAUUCACUUCCAUUCUCUGAUUAUUUCCUAUGACCUAACCCCUCGCCAAGGGCUUCCCAUCUCUUUAUUCACCCCUGACACAGAUGGAGAAACUAAGGCUAAAUCCUGGAAGCCAAUGGCAAGGCCAGCAGAGAAAGCCCAAGUCUUUCUCUCCAUUCAACCCCUGCACCCAUCUGUACCUCUGGCAGUGGCACUGAGUGGCCCUGAUGUCUUUGUGCUGGGUGGUCUUUAAGCAGUGAGGAAAGGCAAAUUUAAAAAAAAAAAAAAAGCCCUUGUGCUUUGGAAAAGGUAUAAAAAUUGCCCAGAAGGCAAGGCCUGUCCCUGUGGGGCUACCUGAUGGCCAGCUUCCUCUGCACGUAUUGGCUUAGGGCUCCUCACCUCCCAUGCCUAGAGGCCUGGUGAUGCUCAGAGUGACUGUAAAAUGCAGACUGACCUGCUCACGCUUAUGUCCAGCCCAUACUAUCCUGUAUUAUCC